UACGAAGGGGGCUAGCGUUGCUCGGAAUUACUGGGCGUAAAGCGCACGUAGGCGGCUCUUUAAGUCGGAGGUGAAAUCCUGGAGCUCAACUCCAGAACUGCCUUCGAUACUGAAGAGCUCGAGUCCGGGAGAGGUGAGUGGAACUGCGAGUGUAGAGGUGAAAUUCGUAGGUAUUCGCAAGAACACCAGUGGCGAAGGCGGCUCACUGGCCCGGUACUGACGCUGAGGUGCGAAAGCGUGGGGAGCAAACAGG
RNAcentral lists this ribosomal RNA (253 nucleotides) under uncultured bacterium. Its description in RNAcentral is "partial 16S ribosomal RNA". It matches the Rfam family "Bacterial small subunit ribosomal RNA", at positions 524 to 776 of the family's 1533-position model. The record is from RNAcentral.